AUUGAACGCUGGCGGCAGGCCUAACACAUGCAAGUCGAGCGAGGGGCAGACGGGUGAGUAAUGUCUGGGAAAAGGCACGAAGGAGGGGGAUAACUGAUGGAAACGGUAGCUAAUACCGCAUACAAUCGGAUGGGCCCAGAUGGGAUUAGAUAGUAGGGUGGGUAACGGCUCACCUAGGCGACGAUCCCUAGCUGGGCUGAGAGGAAGACCAGCCACACUGGAAAUGAGAUACGGUCCAGACGCCUACGGGAGGCAGAAGUGGGGAAUAUGGCACAGUGUGCGCAAGCCUGAUGCAGCCAUGCCGCGUGUAUGAAGAAGGCCUGGGGGUUGUAAAGUACUUUCAGUGAGGAGGCGUUACUCUCAGAAGAAGCACCGGCUAACUCCGUGCCAGAAGCCGCGGUAAUAC
Molecule: ribosomal RNA, 406 nt
Filed under: uncultured bacterium
Lineage: Bacteria
Description: partial 16S ribosomal RNA
Rfam family: Bacterial small subunit ribosomal RNA
Source: RNAcentral